CGACCUGCAGGCGGCCGCGAAUUCACUAGUGAUUCGUAUUACCGCGGGGGCUGGCACAGAGUUAGCCGGUGCUUAUUCUGUCGGUAACGUCAAAACAGCAAAGUAUUAAUUUACUGCCCUUCCUCCCAACUUAAAGUGCUUUACAAUCCGAAGACCUUCUUCACACACGCGGCAUGGCUGGAUCAGGCUUUCGCCCAUUGUCCAAUAUUCCCCACUGCUGCCUCCCGUAGGAGUCUGGACCGUGUCUCAGUUCCAGUGUGACUGAUCAUCCUCUCAGACCAGUUACGGAUCGUCGCCUUGGUGAGCCAUUACCCCACCAACUAGCUAAUCCGACCUAGGCUCAUCUGAUAGCGCAAGGCCCGAAGGUCCCCUGCUUUCUCCCGUAGGACGUAUGCGGUAUUAGCGUCCGUUUCCGAACGUUAU
This 423-nucleotide ribosomal RNA is filed under the name uncultured Gammaproteobacteria bacterium. RNAcentral describes it as "partial 16S ribosomal RNA". The record is from RNAcentral. Lineage: Bacteria; Pseudomonadati; Pseudomonadota; Gammaproteobacteria.